GAAAAGACGCGAAAAAUGACUAAAAUGACACAAAGUGAAAGUUCAAGGACCAAGGUACAAUUACCCAAAAGUUGACCCGAUGAACAAAUUAAGGAAUUGGUUGAACCAAAUGCCAAUUGAUGAUGCCUUGGGAUGAUGAAAUGGAAAGAGUGAAGAGAAGAGGCCUAGAAGUGAAAGAUUCAAGUAAAGGGACUAAAUUAAAGAGAAUAGAAAUUGGAGUCUACCAUGCGACCGCAUGGUAGAACUCUCAUGCGGUCGCACGAAUGAAUGCAGAGAAUUUUUAUCAAAACAUGGAAUAACCAUGCGGCCGCACGGAUUAAAACCAUGCGGUCGCAUGGUAGCCUUUCCGAUACGAUAUUUUCUUUCCUUAUACGAUUAAAACUCCUUUGGUAACCUAAUAUUUACGGGAUAUAAAUAUCAAAAAAGGUCCAAAAAUGACCAGAACGCAUUGGGGGGCAGAAAAACACUUCUUGAAGAUGAUUUGGAGCGCAAGAAUGAAGACUGACUAUUAGAAUUUCAAGAUUUCUUCAAGCUUUUAUAAUCCGGUGAUGCUUAUUACUCAAAACUUGAUGUAUUUUGUUAUUUUAAUCAUGCUAGGCUAGAUUUUCGUGUGCUAGGAGAUCGAUGAACCAUGUAAUUUGAAUUUUAAUAUCUUAGUUUUGCAAUUUGAUAUUA
Molecule: long non-coding RNA, 675 nt
Filed under: Olea europaea subsp. europaea
Lineage: Eukaryota; Viridiplantae; Streptophyta; Magnoliopsida; Lamiales; Oleaceae
Source: RNAcentral